AAUGACUAAAUAUAAGAAAAAAUUACUUGAGUGUUUUUUGAGCGAUCAUCGACAAACUCCUUAUUUCUCUUGAUAUGAGUCUCCAUAUGGAUCUCAUUAAGAAGCAUAGUUCUACCCAACUCGUCAUGCUAAUUAAAUGAAAAAAUAAAUAAAAAAUAAUUAGUUUUAAUUAAUCUAAAAUUUAAAUGAAAAUUUUAGUAAAACAUAAAUAAAC
Molecule: long non-coding RNA, 214 nt
Filed under: Lathyrus oleraceus (garden pea)
Lineage: Eukaryota; Viridiplantae; Streptophyta; Magnoliopsida; Fabales; Fabaceae
Description: Pisum sativum (pea) long non-coding RNA (PSAT_LNC015367)
Source: RNAcentral